This 957-nucleotide long non-coding RNA is filed under the name Parus major (Great Tit). RNAcentral describes it as "lncRNA (ENSPMJG00000010141.1)". Lineage: Eukaryota; Metazoa; Chordata; Aves; Passeriformes; Paridae. The record is from RNAcentral.
CUCGACACUCAAGUUUAAUUUUCUCCAUUUACACAUAAUUGUCUUUCCCAAUCACUGUCUUUGGGAUUAAUUCAACCGUUUGGCUUGGGAUUGUUUUUAAUUGCAAGAACCAUCAGUGUCUGGGCUAGAAACCCCCCCUUCAAUCCACCCACUCUGUUCCCAUUUCAGAUCCCAGGAAACAUUAACUCCUGCUUCUCCAUGGCCCCAAAAAACCCCACAUGGGCGGGCCCUGAACUUCCGGCGUUCUAUGGACAGAGAUUUUCACAUCCUGAUACACUGAAAAGGGCACCUGAAACUUCUGUGGGAUCUUUCCAGCAAGGAGGUCAGUCUCCACUUUCUGCAGCUCUCCAAGCACAUGCAAAUACCAUGCAGAAAGCACAGGCUUGGAGCACAGCACAGAAGAGGUGCUGCAGCUCCGAGCAGAAUCACAAAAAAGCCCUUACUCUGUGUGGGAAGACUUAAGGGAAUAUUUCAGCACAUCAGGAGCUGAAUCACUGCAUGUGGGUGGAGCCAGACGGAUUGACAAGAUCUGGAACUUGAAAGAUGACCUCAGCCUGAGAUCAAUCAUCCCACAAAGUCGCUGACUGAGGGAACAGCAUAUGGGGACAGCUCAAGGUGUCGAGGCUCAAUGUCACCGUGCUGGGCCACAACUGCAGUAGAGGCACAAGCUCCAGCCGAGGUCACCCAAAGCCUGGCCCACCCUGAUGCCUCAGGCCCAGCAGCCUUUUGUUACUCUUGGCACCUUCAGAGCCUCCCUCCCUCCAGCACGACAUGAAAGAGGCACCUUGGGGGAAGCCAUUAGCAAAGGGCUCUUUUUCAUGCAUUAGAUGAAUGAAGAAUUGAGCUGUCAGGUAAUGACUUUGGAGUUGUGGAGAAGCCAACUUGAUGGAAAGCUAAGAAUUAAUUGCGGAUCACACAAAAGCAUGAAAAAAUAAAAGCAGGUACACCACGCUUUCA